UACGGAGGAUGCGAGCGUUAUCCGGAUUUAUUGGGUUUAAAGGGUGCGCAGGCGGCGAGUUAAGUCAGCGGUAAAAUUUCGGGGCUCAACCCCGACAAGCCGUUGAAACUGGGUGCCUUGAGUGAGUGAGAAGUAAGCGGAAUGCGUGGUGUAGCGGUGAAAUGCAUAGAUAUCACGCAGAACGCCGAUUGCGAAGGCAGCUUACCGGCGCUCAACUGACGCUGAGGCACGAAAGUGCGGGUAUCGAACAGG
RNAcentral lists this ribosomal RNA (252 nucleotides) under uncultured Bacteroidales bacterium. RNAcentral's name for it is "partial 16S ribosomal RNA". It matches the Rfam family "Bacterial small subunit ribosomal RNA", at positions 524 to 776 of the family's 1533-position model. The record is from RNAcentral. Lineage: Bacteria; Pseudomonadati; Bacteroidota; Bacteroidia; Bacteroidales.